Molecule: ribosomal RNA, 335 nt
Filed under: uncultured fungus
Lineage: Eukaryota; Fungi
Description: eukaryotic LSU rRNA
Rfam family: 5.8S ribosomal RNA (bases 1-60)
Source: RNAcentral
GUGAGUCAUCGAAUCUUUGAACGCAACUUGCGCCCCCCGGGCAUGUCUGCCUGAGUGUCGCAUAAACGUAUUGCUGAUUGAUGGUGAUUGCUCAUUGGUCGAUUGCUGAUCGAUCAGUGAUGAAUUGGGACAUGGUCGCACUGCCUGAAAUGGAGCAAGAGGAGGGGCGCGUGCUCCUGGCUGCGUGCUAUAAACCAAUGCGUAGUGGUUGAGACCAAUGCGUAGUGGCUGAGGUUUGGUCGCACGGGACUCGCAUCCAUCCAACUCGAUUUCACUCUCUGACCUCAGGUCAGGCAGACUACCCGCUGAACUUAAGCAUAUCAAUAACGCGGAGG